RNAcentral lists this ribosomal RNA (523 nucleotides) under uncultured bacterium. RNAcentral describes it as "bacterial SSU rRNA". It matches the Rfam family "Bacterial small subunit ribosomal RNA", at positions 8 to 526 of the family's 1533-position model. The record is from RNAcentral.
AGAGUUUGAUCCUGGCUCAGAUUGAACGCUGGCGGAAUGCUUUACACAUGCAAGUCGAACGGCAGCACGGGGGCAACCCUGGUGGCGAGUGGCGAACGGGUGAGUAAUACAUCGGAACGUGCCCAGUCGUGGGGGAUAACGUAGCGAAAGCUACGCUAAUACCGCAUACGAACUCUGGUUGAAAGCGGGGGAUCGCAAGACCUCGCGCGAUUGGAGCGGCCGAUGGCAGAUUAGGUAGUUGGUGGGGUAAAGGCCUACCAAGCCGACGAUCUGUAGCUGGUCUGAGAGGACGACCAGCCACACUGGGACUGAGACACGGCCCAGACUCCUACGGGAGGCAGCAGUGGGGAAUUUUGGACAAUGGGCGCAAGCCUGAUCCAGCCAUUCCGCGUGCAGGAUGAAGGCCCUCGGGUUGUAAACUGCUUUUGUACGGAACGAAAAGGCUCUGGUUAAUACCUGGGGCUCAUGACGGUACCGUAAGAAUAAGCACCGGCUAACUACGUGCCAGCAGCCGCGGUAAUAC